Molecule: long non-coding RNA, 3550 nt
Filed under: Lupinus angustifolius (narrow-leaved blue lupine)
Lineage: Eukaryota; Viridiplantae; Streptophyta; Magnoliopsida; Fabales; Fabaceae
Description: long non-coding RNA (LANG_LNC001988)
Source: RNAcentral
UUGUUAUAAUUGAGUACAAGAAGCUGAGGAGCAGGUGAUACUAAUUAGUACCAUUCCAACAUGCAAUGUAUUAAUUUUAUUGUUUCUCCUAAUUUCCUUUUUGUAUUGACUUGUACCUAUCUUCACCUUUCUAUUCUCAAUUUAGGAUUCUUGUUAUGGGGAUGGGUCUUUGUAGAUGGUUUCUGAUGGAUGCUUUAUAUAUUUUUUUGAGAAUAUGUUCUGAUAGGAACUCCUUUUCUCUUGCUUUUACGUAGUAUUUUUUUCUUCUUUUUCAAAUACUUUUAUUAAUACAAUUAUCUUUGAUUGUUUCUUGACAUGCAUCUCGCUGCUCGCAAAUGUUUGGAGAUGAAAAUAAUGUUUUCUUCCUAUAUUGAUUGGUAUGUGACUUUUUUUUAUAAUAAAAAAUGUAUUAAAGAGAGUACUAGGGGUAUUCAACCUAAAUACAAGAGAGUCAACAAUAUUGGAUAAUACAAAUGCACUAUGCCGAAAGCCUCAAUCCUAAUGACUAAUGCGUUAUGGGCCAACCAUAAAGGCUGAAUGGUCGUUAUCUUUAAAAGCAUCCCAUCUCUACAUUGGUUUUUUGAUUAAAAAAGGUGCCUAAAAAUAUUGUAAUUCUCAAUUUAGUAUAUGUAAGUUUAAUGGUAUAAAUGUAUCUAAGAUCAUGCUGUUCGAUCACACAAUUACUCCAGAAAUUAUGCUACUCUUCAAAAAAAGAAACUCUUGGAUCAGCUAUAAGUUUGCUGGAUGGGAAUAAAUCUGCAAUACAAAGGUUCCAUUCUGUUAUCAACUUAAUGAUAUUCUCAGGUUCCUUUUAGCGGAAGUUAAACUUUUCAUUAAUUAGAAUGAAACAAAAAUUCCCUAAAGCUUGAGCAUGUGAAUUUGUAAAGAGAAGUUACUAAUUACCAAAUAAGAUGUGAAAAAAGUCCAACUUUACAUUAUACAACGUUGAUGCUUUUAAGUUACACUAAGUUUAAAAAUUGAUCAACUUCACAAGAGGCAAAGUUUAAGUACAAUAUUACAUAUCAGUUGGUAACCUCAGACCAGCUUUUAUAGGCUUAAAUGCAGCCAACACCACAGAAAUCUUACAUGCAAGAAAUCCCAUCAUUCCAAAUAUGAGAUCAUUUGGUGUUACUUGAAGGUCUCCUGAGCUAUACCUCACUACAAAUACAGCAAAGCCUACAGCCAAAGCCACACUUGCUAUUGGCUCCUUCAAUCCUCCGAAUAAUGCUCCUCCCUUGUUACCUGUGAUUAAUUCUGAAGCUGGCAAUGCAUCCACAGAUCUCUGCAACAACAGCAGAUACACGAAGCCACCAAUCCCACCGAUCAAGAAAGCAAACCCAGUGUUUCCCCCAGCUAAGAAGGAAGUAACUGAUGUACCAAAAAAUAUCAGCAUAACAUCAUAAAAUAGUAAUGAGAACUUCAAAUCUGCAUAUUCUCUCAUGCUCUCUUCAUUUGAGAUCUUUGGACUUGAGAACAAAGUACUGUUAUCGAGUCCUUUGUCGAAGAAGCUGACGGGAUCAAUCUGUUCCAGCUCACUCACAUGACUAUGCCUUAGUUCUAACAUGGAGAGAUCACUUCCUUCACCAAGCAACACAUUGUCGAUCAGAAAAUGAUACUGAUAACCAGUGUACUGUAAUUCCCCAUCUUCGGAUGGCUGCACUUCACAAUUAAUAACCAUUAAGGAAACAUGUCCUAUGCGCCACUGACCUGAUUUAGAUCAAUAAGAAGAGUGUUGUUAGGAAGCGAACUCAUAUGAUACGAAAUAUUAAUUUAGAAGUUUGACAAAGCAUAUAUGUUGGUUGUACAAUGCUUUUAAAAACUGGAAUUUUAGCCUAAGUCAGAAGAGAUAUAAAAGAUUAAAUCUGUUUUUGGAUCCUAAAUAAUUGUCUUUUGUUUUUUAUCCCUAAAAAUACCAAAAGUUAUGUGUUUUCAGUUAGGUAUAUUUUUUACUAUAUAAAAAGAGUGACCAAAAUCAGAGAUUUAUAUAGGGUCAAGGUGAUUGUUGAUAGGAGCUGUAGUCGUUUCCUCCUUACCGGUGGGGCAAGGUGAAUGUUGAUGGGAGCUGUCUGGGCAAGGACAGGUGUAUCAGGUUUGGUGGUUUAAUCAGGGAUACUAUGGGAACCUGGACAUAGGGCUUUUCUGGGUUUGCAGGUCACAUCAUGAUCCUCCAGGCUGAGUUGUUCGCUAUUUGGAGAUGAUUGACCUUGGUGCGGAACCUUGGCUUUUUUGGAAGGUGAAUUGUGAACCAGAUUCCUUACACGCGGUGACUCUUCUAAUGAAUAUGGAUGUGCAAUGUUUCCAUCUUUAUGCUGCUUUUUUUGGUGAUAUCAGGGAUCGGCACUCGGGGAAUUGGGAAGUUCAGAUUAUUCAUAUUCUUCGUGAAGCCAAUUUCAGUGCUGAUGCAUUGGUCAAAUGGGAAUCCAGUCACAACAAUGCUUUUAAUAUCUGGGAUUCUCCACCAGAUUUCGUGGAUCUUGCGAGACUUGCAGGCUCUCUGAGUGGUUCAUCUCUGUUAGUUUCUGUUUUCUUUCGUGUUUUUCUUCUUAACAUGUAACCAAAAUAUAGGGACUAAAGCAAACAAAAGCAUUAUCAGCAGAGACUAAAAGCAUAUUUAAAAUUUUAAACCAAAUAUAAAUGUACAAAUGCUUGCUAAUAAAGAAUGAAAUAGGGAUAUUUUCCUCAGUACUUCAAAAUAUCUUCUGGGAAGAUAAAUAUGUGUUGAUCAUUUGUACUUAAAAUUGUAGUGCUAGGUCAGAGAUGAUGUCUACCUAAUCUUAAUCACUUCAAAAUACAAAUAAACAAGAAUAACAUACCUGAUUCAAUACCAAUCCAAAGAGCAUCAACUCUUGCAAUUUUAGGACCCUCGAAGAUGAAUUCAUCAACAGAACCUCUUUGGAAAUGAAGCAUCUCAACAUGAGUUAUAUCCCCUGAUUCUGUAGAAUGAUCCAUCAUCGAACUCGCAGGUAUCCUCUGCAAUAUGGAAUUUCCAUUUUCAUCUGGUUGAGCUUUAUUCAUUGCCGCCUUCUUUCCUUUCAGAACUUACAAUAGUUAUUAAUAGUAUGUUUGUCUUAAUUAUAUUGUUUAAUCCCAGUUUGAGCCAGCUCCAAGGAGGGGAGAGCCGGACGUAACCCGGAGAACACCCGAUUACUUCCUAUGAUACAACUCUGGUUGAGUCGCUGUUCACCAGCAUCAACUACUGCCUUGCAUUUCGAAGUUGGGCUUUGUUGGAUGUGUUAAUUACUUGUUAUAAUUGAGUACAAGAAGCUGAGGAGCAGGUGAUACUAAUUAGUACCAUUCCAACAUGCAAUGUAUUAAUUUUAUUGUUUCUCCUAAUUUCCUUUUUGUAUUGACUUGUACCUAUCUUCACCUUUCUAUUCUCAAUUUAGGAUUCUUGUUAUGGGGAUGGGUCUUUGUAGAUGGUUUCUGAUGGAUGCUUUAUAUAUUUUUUUGAGAAUAUGUUCUGAUAGGAACUCCUUUUCUCUUGCUUUUACGUAGUAUUUUUUUCUUCUUUUUCAAAUACUUUUAUUAAUACAAUUAUCUUUGAUUGUUU